Molecule: ribosomal RNA, 253 nt
Filed under: uncultured bacterium
Lineage: Bacteria
Description: partial 16S ribosomal RNA
Rfam family: Bacterial small subunit ribosomal RNA
Source: RNAcentral
UACGUAGGGCGCAAGCGUUGUCCGGAAUUAUUGGGCGUAAAGAGCGUGUAGGCGGCCAGGUAGGUCUGCUGUGAAAACUCGAGGCUCAACCUCGAGACGUCGGCGGAAACCAUCUGGCUAGAGUCCGGAAGAGGAGAGUGGAAUUCCUGGUGUAGCGGUGAAAUGCGCAGAUAUCAGGAGGAACACCGGUGGCGAAGGCGGGUCUCUGGGCCGAUACUGACGCUGAGGAGCGAAAGCGUGGGGAGCGAACAGG